This 75-nucleotide transfer RNA is filed under the name Virgisporangium aurantiacum. Its description in RNAcentral is "tRNA-Pro". It matches the Rfam family "tRNA". From Rfam's summary of the family: Transfer RNA (tRNA) molecules are approximately 80 nucleotides in length. Their secondary structure includes four short double-helical elements and three loops (D, anti-codon, and T loops). Lineage: Bacteria; Bacillati; Actinomycetota; Actinomycetes; Micromonosporales; Micromonosporaceae. The record is from RNAcentral.
CGGGUUGUGGCGCAGCUUGGGAGCGCGCUGCUUUCGGGUAGCAGAGGUCGUCGGUUCAAAUCCGGCCAACCCGAC